This 253-nucleotide ribosomal RNA is filed under the name uncultured bacterium. RNAcentral's name for it is "partial 16S ribosomal RNA". It matches the Rfam family "Bacterial small subunit ribosomal RNA", at positions 524 to 776 of the family's 1533-position model. The record is from RNAcentral.
UACGGAGGGCGCAAGCGUUAAUCGGAAUCACUGGGCGUAAAGCGUGCGUAGGCUGUUUGAUAAGUCAGGCGUGAAAUCCCUCGGCUCAACCGGGGAACUGCGUUUGAUACUGUUGAACUAGAGUCCUGGAGAGGGUGGCGGAAUUCCUGGUGUAGGAGUGAAAUCCGUAGAUAUCAGGAGGAACACCGGUGGCGAAGGCGGCCACCUGGACAGGUACUGACGCUGAGGUACGAAAGCGUGGGGAGCAAACAGG